Molecule: ribosomal RNA, 440 nt
Filed under: uncultured bacterium
Lineage: Bacteria
Description: partial 16S ribosomal RNA
Rfam family: Bacterial small subunit ribosomal RNA
Source: RNAcentral
CCUACGGGAGGCAGCAGUGGGGAAUAUUGCACAAUGGGGGAAACCCUGAUGCAGCGACGCCGCGUGAAGGAAGAAGUAUUUCGGUAUGUAAACUUCUAUCAGCAGGGAAGAAAAUGAAGGUACCUGACUAAGAAGCCCAGGCUAACGACGUGCCAGCAGCGGCGGUAAUACGUAGGGGGCAAGCGUUAUACGGAUUUACUGGGUGUAAAGGGGGCGUAGGCGGCGAGGCAAGUCAGAAGUGAAAGCCCGGGGCUCAACUCCGGUACUGCUUGUGAAACUGUGUUGCUAGAUUGCAGGAGAGGUAAGUGGAAUUCCUGGUGUAGCGGUGAAAUGCUUAGAUAUUAGGAGGAACACCAGUGGCGAAGGCGGCUUACUGGACUGUAAAUGACGCUGAGGCUCGAAAGUGUGGGGAGCAAACAGGAUUAGAUACCCCAGUAGUC